AGACGGAGUACUAGAUUGACUGGCAAGAAGAGAGGGAAUCCGGGGAGUCAGAAACGGAAUCAUAGGCUUGAGCUAGAGCUGUAGAACCUAUGUGUUAAGCAUGUAGUAAAUAGAGAAUGUUGCCGAACUCUCCUCUGCGUGUACCCUCGGAAAGCCUCUUUUCAUGCAAUUUGAAGCGCCUUACCUAGGGAAUUUGCCAUCAAAC
Molecule: long non-coding RNA, 205 nt
Filed under: Musa acuminata (dwarf banana)
Lineage: Eukaryota; Viridiplantae; Streptophyta; Magnoliopsida; Zingiberales; Musaceae
Description: long non-coding RNA (MACU_LNC010974)
Source: RNAcentral